This 440-nucleotide ribosomal RNA is filed under the name uncultured bacterium. Its description in RNAcentral is "partial 16S ribosomal RNA". It matches the Rfam family "Bacterial small subunit ribosomal RNA", at positions 338 to 795 of the family's 1533-position model. The record is from RNAcentral.
CCUACGGGUGGCAGCAGUGGGGAAUAUUGCACAAUGGGGGAAACCCUGAUGCAGCGACGCCGCGUGAGUGAAGAAGUAAUUCGUUACGUAAAGCACUAUCAGCAGGGAAGAAAAUGACGGUACCUGAGUCAGAAGCCCCGGCUAACUCCGUGCUAGCAGCCGCGGUAAUACGCAGGGGGCACGCGUUAUCCGGAUUUACUGGGUGGAAAGGUAGCGUAGACGGUUCGGCAAGUCUGUCGUGAAAUGCCGCAGCUGAACUGCGGAACUGCUUUGGAAACUGGCGAACUAGAGUGCGGGAGGGGGAAGCGGAAUUCCAAGUGUAGCGGUGAAAUGCGUAGAUAUGAGGAGGAACACCGGUGGCGAAGGCGGCUUACUGGACCGUAACUGACGUUGAGGCUCGAAAGCGUGGGGAGCAAACAGGAUUAGAUACCCUUGUAGUC